GUUAUAAUAAAAAUUUAUAAUGUAACCUGCCCAGUGAGAUAUAUACGAUAAAAAUAUUCUUAAACGGACGCAAGAAAUUGUGAUAAAGUAGCGUAAUCAUUUGCCUAUUAAUUGUAGGAUAGUAUGAAUGGUUGAACAAAAAAAUAAUUUUUUUUUUUAAUAGAAAUUAAAAUUAAUAUAAUAGUAAAGAAGCUAUUUAAUAUUAUAAGACGAUAAGACCCUAUAGAGCUUGACUAUAAGUAUAAUUCUAUUAUAUUUGGUAGUUUAUUUGGGGCGAAUAUAUUUUAUUUAUAACAAAUAAUAUAAACUUAUUGAAAAAUACAUUUUUAUUAAGUAAUAUGACCUAUUUUUUUUAAAAAAAUAAAUAAAUAAUCAUUGAAUAAAAGCUACCUUAGGGAUAACAGAACAAUCUUUUUUUGAAGUUCAUAUUCGAAAAAAGGCUUAUUACCUCGAUGUUGAAUUUAGUUGACCUUGAAAAUGUAGAAAUUUUAAAAGUGUUGUACUGUUCGUACAUUAAUAACUA
RNAcentral lists this ribosomal RNA (523 nucleotides) under Cordagalma ordinatum. RNAcentral's name for it is "partial 16S ribosomal RNA". Lineage: Eukaryota; Metazoa; Cnidaria; Hydrozoa; Siphonophorae; Agalmatidae. The record is from RNAcentral.